RNAcentral lists this ribosomal RNA (651 nucleotides) under uncultured bacterium. RNAcentral's name for it is "bacterial SSU rRNA". It matches the Rfam family "Bacterial small subunit ribosomal RNA", at positions 84 to 731 of the family's 1533-position model. The record is from RNAcentral.
UCUGGUGGCGAGUGGCGAACGGGUGAGUAAUAUAUCGGAACGUGUCCAAUAAUGGGGGAUAACUAGUCGAAAGAUUAGCUAAUACCGCAUACGCCCUGAGGGGGAAAGUGGGGGAUCUUCGGACCUCACGUUAAUGGAGCGGCCGAUAUCUGAUUAGCUAGUUGGUAGGGUAAAAGCCUACCAAGGCGACGAUCAGUAGCUGGUCUGAGAGGAUGAUCAGCCACACUGGGACUGAGACACGGCCCAGACUCCUACGGGAGGCAGCAGUGGGGAAUUUUGGACAAUGGGCGCAAGCCUGAUCCAGCCAUGCCGCGUGAGUGAAGAAGGCCUUCGGGUUGUAAAGCUCUUUCGCAAGGAAAGAAAACUUACAUGUAAAUAAUGUGUGAGGUUGACGGUACCUUGAUAAGAAGCACCGGCUAACUACGUGCCAGCAGCCGCGGUAAUACGUAGGGUGCAAGCGUUAAUCGGAAUUACUGGGCGUAAAGCGAGCGCAGGCGGUUUUGUAAGUCAGAUGUGAAAGCCCCGGGCUCAACCUGGGAACUGCGUUUGAAACUACAAGGCUAGAGUAUGGGAGAGGGGGGUAGAAUUCCACGUGUAGCAGUGAAAUGCGUAGAGAUGUGGAGGAAUACCAAUGGCGAAGGCAGCCCCCUG